RNAcentral lists this transfer RNA (82 nucleotides) under Daphnia pulex (common water flea). It matches the Rfam family "tRNA". From Rfam's summary of the family: Transfer RNA (tRNA) molecules are approximately 80 nucleotides in length. The record is from Rfam by way of RNAcentral. Lineage: Eukaryota; Metazoa; Arthropoda; Branchiopoda; Diplostraca; Daphniidae.
GCAGAUAUAGCCGAGUGGUUAACGCGACUGACUCGAAAUCAGUUUCCAUCUUGGAGCGUAGAUUUGAACCCUACUAUCUGCG